Molecule: ribosomal RNA, 133 nt
Filed under: Ochotona princeps (American pika)
Lineage: Eukaryota; Metazoa; Chordata; Mammalia; Lagomorpha; Ochotonidae
Source: RNAcentral
GUCUACGGCCUUGCCACCUUGAACGUGCCCGAUCUCUCGGAAGCUAAGUAGGGUCAGGCCGGGUGAGUACUUGGAUGGGAGAAAUGCGCCAGCUAUCCUAUGACCUAGUGAGAGAGCAAGACUGAUGAAAAAA